CCUACGGGAGGCAGCAGUGGGGAAUCUUAGACAAUGGGCGCAAGCCUGAUCUAGCCAUGCCGCGUGAGUGAUGAAGGCCUUAGGGUCGUAAAGCUCUUUCGCCUGUGAAGAUAAUGACUGUAGCAGGUAAAGAAACCCCGGCUAACUCCGUGCCAGCAGCCGCGGUAAUACGGAGGGGGUUAGCGUUGUUCGGAAUUACUGGGCGUAAAGCGCGCGUAGGCGGACAUUUAAGUCAGAGGUGAAAUCCCAGGGCUCAACCCUGGAACUGCCUUUGAUACUGGGUGUCUUGAGUUCGAGAGAGGUGAGUGGAAUUCCGAGUGUAGAGGUGAAAUUCGUAGAUAUUCGGAGGAACACCAGUGGCGAAGGCGGCUCACUGGCUCGAUACUGACGCUGAGGUGCGAAAGUGUGGGGAGCAAACAGGAUUAGAUACCCUGGUAGUCCACACCGUAAACGAUGAAUGCCAGUCGUCGGGCAGUAUACUGUUCGGUGACACACCUAACGGAUWAASMAUUCCGCCUGGGGAGUACGGUCGCAAGAUUAAAACUCAAAUGAAUUGACGGA
Molecule: ribosomal RNA, 561 nt
Filed under: uncultured bacterium
Lineage: Bacteria
Description: bacterial SSU rRNA
Rfam family: Bacterial small subunit ribosomal RNA
Source: RNAcentral